This 253-nucleotide unclassified non-coding RNA is filed under the name uncultured Gemmatimonadota bacterium. RNAcentral describes it as "uncultured Gemmatimonadetes bacterium contains 16S-23S intergenic spacer region". It matches the Rfam family "Bacterial small subunit ribosomal RNA", at positions 524 to 776 of the family's 1533-position model. Lineage: Bacteria; Pseudomonadati; Gemmatimonadota. The record is from RNAcentral.
GACAGAGGGUGCGAGCGUUGUUCGGAAUUACUGGGCGUAAAGCGCGCGCAGGCGGCGCUGCAAGUCGGGAGUGAAAUUCCGGGGCUCAACCCCGGAGCUGCUGUCGAAACUGCAGGGCUGGAGACCGGUAGAGGCUGGUAGAAUUCCUGGUGUAGCGGUGGAAUGCGUAGAGAUCAGGAAGAAUACCCGUGGCGAAGGCGGCCAGCUGGGCCGGUUCUGACGCUGAGGCGCGAAAGCGUGGGGAGCAAACAGG